This is a long non-coding RNA of Alexandromys fortis (reed vole), 521 nucleotides long. RefSeq lists it as uncharacterized. NCBI's taxonomy places the organism in Eukaryota, Metazoa, Chordata, Mammalia, Rodentia, Cricetidae. The transcript is spliced from 2 exons. The record is from RefSeq and is a predicted model, not a curated record.
CUGCAGCCGAGUCCCGCCAUGCUCCGCGGUGCUAACGGCCUUUGGCGGGAAAGGCGCCGGGGGCGGAGCCAGAUGAUGCUGAGCUGUUGCUCCGGAAACCUGCGCUUCGUCGGCGCUUCGGCUUGGUUGGCGGAGUGGCAGACACCGUGGCACACCUAUGAAAGUCAGAAAAUGAGUCAGUUCACCCUCCACCCCUACCGUGUGAGCCCCGAGAUGAAACUGGAGGCUUUGGAAGAGCACCCUCACUGCAUGAGCCGUCCUGCUGCCCUUUACGUUAUUGAUCAUCUACAGCAGUCCUGAAAUGGAACUAUUAAAUAUUAAGACUGGCUGAAGAAAUCAAGGCAAUGAGAGUGGGGAGGGGCAGAGGCAGAGGGGUUUCUAGGCAAAAUGCCUGAAGUGAAAACCUAUGGAAUUCCUGGGAGAAACUACAAAUUUGACUAAAAGUCACAGUAAAGAAAGGAACACAGUAUAUGCAAAAUUUUAAAUGACUUUAAAUGCAAAUAAACAGUUCAAGAAAGGAC